CAGUCGCCGCGGUAACACGAAGGGGGCUAGCGUUGCCCGGAAUUAUUGGGCGUAAAGCGCGCGCAGGCGGUUUUUUAAGUCUGGUGUCUAAGUGCGGGGCUCAACCCCGUGACGCACUGGAAACUGGGAGACUUGAGUGCAGAAGAGGAGAGCGGAAUUCCACGUGUAGCGGUGAAAUGCGUAGAGAUGUGGAGGAACACCAGUGGCGAAGGCGGCUCUCUGGACUGUAACUGACGCUGAGGCGCGAAAGCGUGGGGAGCAAACAGGAUUAGAUACCCCCGUAGUCCCUGUCUCUUAUACA
This 301-nucleotide ribosomal RNA is filed under the name uncultured bacterium. RNAcentral's name for it is "partial 16S ribosomal RNA". It matches the Rfam family "Bacterial small subunit ribosomal RNA", at positions 509 to 808 of the family's 1533-position model. The record is from RNAcentral.